Molecule: long non-coding RNA, 819 nt
Organism: Poecile atricapillus (Black-capped chickadee)
Lineage: Eukaryota; Metazoa; Chordata; Aves; Passeriformes; Paridae
Exons: 3
Source: RefSeq, a predicted model, not a curated record
GCCGCAUCCCCGCGGCCCCGGCUCCAAGCCCCAGGGGCGGCCGGGAUCGGGGAGCCGCGGCUGCCGCGCUCCCAGGGGUUAAAAACCUUCGAGCCCCACGCGUGGGAGGGGUCGGGGCAACGCGGGGAGAAAUGCAGAAAAAGUUAAACCAAAUGGCUUUGGUUGUCUCUCAGAGAUGUGAGUGAAUGGAUGUGCCACCCCAAAACUCCCACCUCCCAGAUCAUAUACUACUUAUGUGAAAACAAUGGAAGGGAAUAACAGCAGGACAGAUGAGUCUGCAGCAGCAGCAUCAACCCAAGGGUGAUACUGACCAGAGGUACUGUAAUACUAUGGAGCAAGAUGAGGGUGAGUCAGAAGAAGAUGUUUGUCUUCUAUGCAGAGCCCAAAAUUUGUCUGUCUGUUACAGGAAAUUACACUAAUACUGAAUCACAGUUUGGUACGCAUCAUCAUUAUGUACAGAUUUUUUCCAUGGUGAGGAAGUUGUUGUUAGGUAGGUUUUACAAUUUUAUGCAGUAAUUUUAUUUCAAAAUGUGUCCUAGAGCAUCCAGUUUUCCUUGUGCAUGAAGGUAUCUGCAGCAUUUAUUAUUUGUAUACUCUCCAGUAAAAACUCUGGCCAAGACACUCCAAGGAUAGGUGCAACACCCUUUCAUAUUCUACCUGGAAAAGACAAAUAGUUUGCAACUAUUCUCUAACAAAACAUACAGAAGAGAAAAUGAAAGAACUGAAAAGGAUCUGUGAAAUACUCAUAAAAUGGAGAUAUAUCUCAUGACAGAUGCACUAGGAUUGCCUGGGAUUUUUCUGAGAUAUUCUUAAUUUUUU